This 464-nucleotide ribosomal RNA is filed under the name Vreelandella stevensii. Its description in RNAcentral is "partial 16S ribosomal RNA". It matches the Rfam family "Bacterial small subunit ribosomal RNA", at positions 338 to 795 of the family's 1533-position model. Lineage: Bacteria; Pseudomonadati; Pseudomonadota; Gammaproteobacteria; Oceanospirillales; Halomonadaceae. The record is from RNAcentral.
CCUACGGGGGGCAGCAGUGGGGAAUAUUGGACAAUGGGGGGAACCCUGAUCCAGCCAUGCCGCGUGUGUGAAGAAGGCCCUCGGGUUGUAAAGCACUUUCAGUGAGGAAGAACGCCUGGUGGUUAAUACCCAUCAGGAAAGACAUCACUCACAGAAGAAGCACCGGCUAACUCCGUGCCAGCAGCCGCGGUAAUACGGAGGGUGCGAGCGUUAAUCGGAAUUACUGGGCGUAAAGCGCGCGUAGGUGGCUUGAUAAGCCGGUUGUGAAAGCCCCGGGCUCAACCUGGGAACGGCAUCCGGAACUGUCAAGCUAGAGUGCAGGAGAGGAAGGUAGAAUUCCCGGUGUAGCGGUGAAAUGGGUAGAGAUCGGGAGGAAUACCAGUGGCGAAGGCGGCCUUCUGGACUGACACUGACACUGAGGUGCGAAAGCGUGGGAGCAAACAGGAUUAGAUACCCUGGUAGUC